This 471-nucleotide ribosomal RNA is filed under the name uncultured bacterium. RNAcentral's name for it is "SSU rRNA". It matches the Rfam family "Bacterial small subunit ribosomal RNA", at positions 26 to 518 of the family's 1533-position model. The record is from RNAcentral.
AGGACGAACGCUGGCGGCGUGCUUAACACAUGCAAGUCGAGCGGAAAGGCCCUUCGGGGUACUCGAGCGGCGAACGGGUGAGUAACACGUGAGCAACCUGCCCUUAGCUUCGGGAUAGCUCCGGGAAACCGGAAUUAAUACCGAAUAUGACCAUGGCCGGAAUCGGCCAUGGUGGAAAGUUUUUCGGCUAGGGAUGGACUCGCGGCCUAUCAGCUAGUUGGUGAGGUAACGGCCCACCAAGGCGACGACGGGUAGCCGGCCUGAGAGGGCGACCGGCCACACUGGGACUGAGACACGGCCCAGACUCCUACGGGAGGCAGCAGUGGGAAUAUUGCGCAAUGGGCGAAAGCCUGACGCAGCGACGCCGCGUGGGGAUGAAGGCCUUCGGGUUGUAAACCCUUUCAGCAGGGACGAAGCGAGAGUGACGGUACCUGCAGAAGAAGCGCCGGCUAACUACGUGCCAGCAGCCGC